Molecule: long non-coding RNA, 1778 nt
Filed under: Gallus gallus (chicken)
Lineage: Eukaryota; Metazoa; Chordata; Aves; Galliformes; Phasianidae
Description: lncRNA (ENSGALG00010007177.1)
Source: RNAcentral
AUUUCUGGAGGUUGUUCCUUUUGGUGUUUUUCUUGAUAAGCUUGGGACACAGUUGAUGAGAAGCAGUCAGGAAGUCUAGCAGAUAUGAAUAGGAAACCACUGGAAUAUAAGGCCAUUCUGUCAACUCAGAACAGACAGAUACCUACAGCUUCAUCACUGCCAGUAGCACACUGCUGGGUUGGCAUUUACUGAUCAAAAGAAACUUUGCCUGAAGAAUUUCCUCUGUCCAAAGAUAAAAGGAAUACAAUACUUUCAUGAUUCACAGAAAGGAAGAAAAAGAAACUGUGCUACUAAAGGAAUAUUUCCCAGCACAAGCUGAAAACAUCAGGCCUGUGGCAACAUCUUGGGGACUGGGAGUUUGAAAGUGUAUUUCAGAAAAAUUGCUUAAACCAUCCUGUAGAGGUGGUGCACUAGCAAGCUGUUCUAAGACAUUCUUCCAGCCCAGCAAAUGGACAUCAGCACCUUGCUGUUACAGCUGGCUCUUUGCCAGGGGAUCUGCAGUGCCAUGAAAACCCAUCUCUCAGAGAAUAUAACCCUGGCAGCUGCCCAGGAAGCAUCAUCUUCUUUCAUGACACAGACUGAAAUUAUGCUCAAAGCAGCACAAGGACUGGGUGACUAGAUGAGUUGUGCCUACACUCACUCUAGGUGCUCCAAUAGAUGCAGUGAUACAAUGCCUUUUUCAUAAAUGUGUGUAAGAUGUCGUUCCUGAUAAAAUCUGUUGCACCUAUGGGUGAAGGAAGUUGGCUUCCCCCUGGUGUAAUGUCCAUAGGCUCAGAAGACUGGAGUAUCAUUACUCCUGCUGCCCCCCAAAAAUCAUUCUAGUGCCAAACAUGACAAGAAGUGAUGCUUAUGGUACGUAACUGAACAAGAGAGGAAACCUCAGUAUGGAUUUACUACAACUCAUAUUUGAAAUCUACUUUUGAAAAGCCUUGGUACAUAUACUUCUCAAAUCAGGAAAUUUUUGCUGUUCAAGAUUGAAUUCUUAAUUCAGAUUUUCUUUGGAAAAACACACACAAGCUAAUGAAUUUUUUGUUUCUGGGUAUUAUUCAUGUCCAGUCAGACACAAGGACAUUUUGCACUCUGAUUCUGUUGCAUGGAUUUAAGAUUACCUGCUGCAAGCUUUCUCACAAUUAAGAUAAAACACACCUGGUCUACAUUAGUUGGCACAUUGCUAUCCAUUCGCCCACCAAUCCAGGAAUCCUUCUACGUGAAACAUAUUCAGCUUGGACAAAAAUCUUCAUAAGAAGAAAACAAAACUGAAGCCAUUUUUAGGGGCUUACCUCUCAGAUUUUACAUACAGCUAAAUGUCACACAGGUCACAUUUAGGAGUGUGCCUGAGAAAAAUCAUGUACCUCAGAAAACUUACUGUGGUCUCCAUGUCUCACAGAUAAUCUUUAUUCAGCAGAUCUGUUUCUUCAGACGAGAAUAAAAAUAGUAAUCAUACAGAAAUCCAAACCUAAACAGUGCUGCUCAAGGACAUGAUGUAGGAUAAACGGUGAUUUGUGAAACCCUACAUAAAUUUUACAUAUACACUUAAGUCUAAAACAUUAAAGACAUUGUCUUUAAUCCUUCCAGUAACAUAGGUGAACCUGUUUCUGAAGAAGUACACAGCCUUCACAAAGAUGUUUCUAAAGUCUCUACAGAGUCCACCAGAGCUGAGUCAACACAGAUAAGUGAAGAGGGCAUAAGAACACAGUCACGGUGAUAGUAAUUCAGAUAAAGGAUCCACACAAGCUAGUAUUCAUUUUCUAACAAUAGUCAUAACUGAACACACACAC